CAGUCGCCGCGGUAAUACGGAGGGUGCAAGCGUUAAUCGGAAUUACUGGGCGUAAAGCGCACGCAGGCGGUCUGACAAGUCAGAUGUGAAAUCCCCGGGCUUAACCUGGGAACUGCAUUUGAAACUGUCAGGCUGGAGUCUUGUAGAGGGGGGUAGAAUUCCAGGUGUAGCGGUGAAAUGCGUAGAGAUCUGGAGGAAUACCGGUGGCGAAGGCGGCCCCCUGGACAAAGACUGACGCUCAGGUGCGAAAGCGUGGGGAGCAAACAGGAUUAGAUACCCGCGUAGUCCCUGUCCUUAUACA
This 301-nucleotide ribosomal RNA is filed under the name uncultured bacterium. Its description in RNAcentral is "partial 16S ribosomal RNA". It matches the Rfam family "Bacterial small subunit ribosomal RNA", at positions 509 to 809 of the family's 1533-position model. The record is from RNAcentral.